GACGAACGCUGGCGGCGUGCCUAACACAUGCAAGUCGAACGGAAAGGCCCUGCUCUUGUGGGGUGCUCGAGUGGCGAACGGGUGAGUAACACGUGAGUAACCUGCCCUUGACUUUGGGAUAACUUCAGGAAACUCGGGCUAAUACCGGAUAGGAGCUCCUGCUGCAUGGUGGGGGUUGGAAAGUUUCGGCGGUUGGGGAUGGACUCGCGGCUUAUCAGCUUGUUGGUGGGGUAGUGGCUUACCAAGGCUUUGACGGGUAGCCGGCCUGAGAGGGUGACCGGCCACAUUGGGACUGAGAUACGGCCCAGACUGCUACGGGAGGCAGCAGUGGGGAAUAUUGCACAAUGGGCGGAAGCCUGAUGCAGCAACGCCGCGUGCGGGAUGACGGCCUUCGGGUUGUAAACCGCUUUCGCCUGUGACGAAGCGUGAGUGACGGUAAUGGGUAAAGAAGCACCGGCUAACUACGUG
RNAcentral lists this ribosomal RNA (468 nucleotides) under uncultured bacterium. Its description in RNAcentral is "partial 16S ribosomal RNA". It matches the Rfam family "Bacterial small subunit ribosomal RNA", at positions 28 to 507 of the family's 1533-position model. The record is from RNAcentral.